GAUGAACGCUGGCGGCGUGCCUAAUACAUGCAAGUCGAGCGAACAGACGAGGCGCUUGCUCCUCUGACGUUAGCGGCGGACGGGUGAGUAACACGUGGAUAACCUACCUAUAUGACUGGGAUAACUUCGGGAAACCGGAGAUAAUACCGGAUAAUAUCUUGCACCGCAUGGUUGAAUAGUGAAAUACGGUUUUUCUGUCACUUAUCGCUGGUUCCGCGCCGCAUUGGCUAGUUGGGAAGGUAAUGGCUUACCAAGGCAACGAUGCCUAGCCGACCUAAGAGGCGGAUAGGCCACACUGGAACGGAGACGCGGUCAAGACUCCUACGGGAGGCAGCAGUAGGGAAUCUUACGCAAUGGGCGAAAGCCUGACGGAGCAACGCCGCGUGAGUGAUGAAGGCCUUCGGAUCGUAAAACUCUGUUAUUAGGGAAGAACAAAUGUGUAAGUAACUAUGCACGUCUUGACGGUACCUAAUCAGAAAGCCACGGCUAACUACGUG
Molecule: ribosomal RNA, 497 nt
Filed under: uncultured bacterium
Lineage: Bacteria
Description: partial 16S ribosomal RNA
Rfam family: Bacterial small subunit ribosomal RNA
Source: RNAcentral